GUAACAAGGUUUCCGUAGGUGAACCUGCGGAAGGAUCAUUACAGUGGCGCCGGACCGCGUUUUGCCCCUAAACCGGGGGCGCGCGGUCCGCACCUCCCACCCUUGUCUACUUAACCAAUGUUGCUUUGGCAGGCCCGCCGCUCGCGGCCGUCGGGGAGCGCCGGUCAGGCGCCCUGGGCGAGUGUCUGCCAGAGAAAAAUUUGAAUUCGAUGUGAAUAUUGUCAGUCUGAGUAUUCUAAUAAGAAUCAAAUAAAACUUUCAACAACGGAUCUCUUGGUUCCAGCAUCGAUGAAGAACGCAGCGAAAUGCGAUAAGUAAUGUGAAUUGCAGAAUUCCGUGAAUCAUCGAAUCUUUGAACGCACAUUGCGCCCUCUGGUAUUCCGGGGGGCAUGCCUGUUCGAGCGUCAUUGCAACCCUUCAAGCGCGGCUUGUGUGUUGGGCUGCCGUCCCCGUAUGGAGUGGACGAGCCUGAAAUUCAGUGGCGGCACCGAGAUUCUGGUGUCUGAGUGCAUGGGAGACCUUUCGCUCAAUAGACCCGGCCGGCGCCGAUUGUUAAUGACCUCUAGUUUGACCUCGGAUCAGGUAGGAAUACCCGCUGAACUUAAGCAUAUCAAUAAGCGGAGGAAAAGAAACCAACAGGGAUUGCCUCAGUAACGGCGAGUGAAGCGGCAAA
RNAcentral lists this unclassified non-coding RNA (673 nucleotides) under Amauroascus niger. Its description in RNAcentral is "sequence contains 18S rRNA gene, ITS1, 5.8S rRNA gene, ITS2, 28S rRNA gene". The stretch from base 254 to 407 matches the Rfam family "5.8S ribosomal RNA". The record is from RNAcentral. Lineage: Eukaryota; Fungi; Ascomycota; Eurotiomycetes; Onygenales; Onygenaceae.